Molecule: non-coding RNA, 2600 nt
Organism: Chlorocebus sabaeus (green monkey)
Lineage: Eukaryota; Metazoa; Chordata; Mammalia; Primates; Cercopithecidae
Source: RefSeq, a predicted model, not a curated record
GGCCGCAGGGUUCGCCCCUCCGCCGCCACGAGAUGCCCCCAGCCUGUGCGCUGGCCGCCACUCCCCGCUCCAUCAGGUGCCGGAAUCCGAGUAAAAGCCUGGGCGCGAGCUCCUAGCCCCAGGGCCCGCCACGCGCCCCACGAAGCCGGCAGCUCCAGUGGCCGCCGGGAGAAGGAAGGGCGGCCGGGGGAAGACAGGUCGCAGAGACAACACCUGGCGGAAAGUUAGCCCCGGACUAGCACGCCCCACCCGGAGAAGCCAGCCUGGAAGGGGCUGCGGGCCACCAGGCGGAGCGGUGGGCAACCGAAGUGCGGCUGGGCGGGACUCCACGUCUCCGCACUGGAAGAAUUGCCCCUCCGCAAGUCUUCCCUUCCCACGUGGGGGCCUUCCAGGUCGCACUCGGUCGCCCACCGCUCCCCCUGAGAAGGGAGACUAAAAGACAGGCAUCUGGAAGCUGUCACUGUGGCGCGCGGGCGGACAGGGGAUUCCACUGGAGAGGAAGAGGCCGUAGUAGUCGCUGCUGCCUGAGGCCGACCCAACCGCCGCCUGCUUGGGAGGAAGAAAAAAAACGCCCCCGCUGAAGAAUUAAGGCAGCCAUUGGUUGCUCUAGAGCGUAGGGACCGAGGCCUCCCCUGGGUGUCACUGGAGCGGUCACACGUGGGGGAUCAGCCGACUUCGAUCGCUGGCGACAGACCCAGCGACCCGGAGGCGUGCGCGCUGGGGCUGCGGCUGGAGGGCGCGGCGACGGCACCAGGCGGGUGGCUCGAGUGGGUGCGACUGUAGGCGCGUGGGACUGGGAACUCCUCCGGCGUGGGGAAGAUUUUUUUUUCCCAGCAGAUGUUGGAGUGUUAUUGCCUGUCUAAGGGGCCGGCAGAAUGGCCAGGUCCCAGUGCGUGUGGGGCAGCGAGGUGUGUCAGAUAAGCUGUGGAUCCCCUCGGCCCCUCGUGGGCCGGAGAGGGGGCCCACGACAAUAAGGCGAUUGAGGACAGCGACGGACAGGGCGGGGAACCAGUUGGGUGGAAGCACAGGCAAAGUGUGGUGAGGAGGGAAGGGCUAUGAUCGGCCCUCGGGACGACGCCCCCAGGGGACAGCCUGGCCUCCUGAAUUAGGGAAAAGACAACCCGCCUCUUUAGACUGGGGCGCCUCAGAGUCUGACCUGAGUCUUCAAACACCCAGAUUCCCGGGGGCCUUGCCUCGAGUGGGCCUCAAGACUCGCGACGCCCCCGCAGCCUUGGGCUGAGGGUCAGUAGUCUCCGGGAGCGGGUCUGGCUGCCGCGGAACUGAUACUGGUUUGCGCCGGUAGGUAGGCGAGGGGCGCGGUCACCCCGUCUGAAUUCCACUGGCAGGACAGCUGUGGAACCGCCAGAGAAAAGUCCGGCGGUGUAAGAAAGGAGGAUAAGACAGCAGCAGCACUGCCCAUGGACCAGAGGCCUCCUGUAAAGCCUGGGAAAAGAGGGCCCCCCACACCGCCAACCGGAUGUAAGGGCAAUUGCAAAGGAACUGUGUGUUAUCUUCACCAGAACAGACUGUAGAAUUUGUUUAUUAAAUUUUUAUUUUGUACUUAUUUAUUUUGUGAAUGUAUAUGCUGUAAGCUCAUCUGCUUAGAUUACAAGAAUGUCAAUGCCCUACCUUGGUGGGUAGGUUAGUUUAUUCUAAUGAGCACAACUUAACGUUACAUAUUCCAACAUCUCAUUUGGGAUGUGAGGAUGCUAUGGGCGGGGGAUGGAUAUUCUGGCAUUGCUAGAAUAUAGGAGCCUUAACGAGAGAGUGGCAGAGUGGGGAGAACCUGGCACUUAAGCUGCAGAUGAUCACUUAUUAGCUUUGUUAUAUUAAAUAAGUUAAACUUUCUUCAUCUCAUUUUUUUUUCUAUUGUAAAAUAGGGUAGUAACAGUGAGUCCUGGUAGAGGACAUGUUCUGUUAGCCAGAUCCACCCUCCAACCUGCUGUCUGUCCUUUGGAGCCUUAACUCAAUGGACUUUCUUUCCCUCUACCUUCCUCUUGAGUUAAGGCACUGGGAAGCAAGAGCAAUGGAACAAAGAGGAAGGAGCACGGUUAUUUAUUCCUCCCUGGCUCCCUUGCUAUGGCACCAUGGCAGGCUGGCUGAAUCCCUCAACCAAAGGAAGCAACCAGUAUCCCUCCCUAGGGUGACCCAGAGUAAACUCCAAUGGUUUCCCUUCAUUUUGCACACACCUUUGCAAAUAGUCUUUUUAUAAAACUCUACUCACAUUAUCCAGUAGGAAUGUAGUAUCUCAUUCCUUUACGGAAUUUUUUGAGAGUUAACUGAGAAAAUACUGUAUUAUUAGUGUUAGAAUUACCUAUAAUUUCCAUCCAAACUGAGAAACUUCUGAGACUGGAAAAAGGGGGUUUGUGCUGAUAGUAAUGAUCCCAGGACAAUAGGAAAAACAAGGACUUAUGGCGACCCCAGCUAUUAUUGUUGGUAAACUCUGCUUUAGACAUGUUAAGCAAUCAAGAAGUGGUCAUACUAUCAUGCUUCUGUCACUAGAUUAUGAAUGUCUCAAGGUAAGAGUGCUUUUUUAUCUAUUAGCUUCUGUCACAUGGUCUGAUACAUUCAAUAAAUUUUGAGUUGGAGAUGAGGGUAAA